This 348-nucleotide long non-coding RNA is filed under the name Anas platyrhynchos platyrhynchos (common mallard). RNAcentral's name for it is "lncRNA (ENSAPLG00000024131.1)". Lineage: Eukaryota; Metazoa; Chordata; Aves; Anseriformes; Anatidae. The record is from RNAcentral.
CCUGUAUCAUAUGGUUUUUACUUACACGUAAAUUCCUGCUUUUCUUUGCUUCCGAUGCUCUUUGCUGUCCCCAGGGCUGAAUGCAGUCUGCUCUUGGGAAUCCAGCUGGACAUGAGGCAGACCUGCAUCUGUCCCAAGCUCUGCAGCACCAAUUGGGCUGAGCAAGUUCUCCCCACCCUUCCGCGGGCCCUUCGGCUACACGUGCGUGGCUUCACCUGCGGCAGCUCCCAGGACAGGCUGGCUCAGCUCCUGCGAGCAGAGGAUGGCAGUUCCUUCAGACAGGCACGUGGUGCAAUCAGUGGGUCUGCUCCAAAGCCCCGUGAAAGUGAAGAACGGGUCCCUUGCUGA